UUCAAGUAAUGAUGUCAACUUCAUAAAUCCUUACAUAUAAAAAAUAUCGGGAUCAGGGCUCUGGGGUCAGUUCACCGCAGCUUGGGCAUCUCAUGAUUAUGAGAGGAGGAGAUUGACGAAUCAGGUGAAUCGAGCGACAAAGGUGGUUAGGGGAGCUAUGCUACACAUUGGUGGAUCAGUCCCUCAUACGAAGCACUACAAGAGGCUGAGCUGCAUGUCCGAGCUAAUCGAAGCCUGAGGACUGUGCAAUGGGUCUCAGAGCAUUCUCGACGAGUUGCUGAGGUGUUUGAGAAGCUUUGGGGGAGGCACUUUACCACUCAGUCCCAGACUGACACCAACAACAGAGGUAGUCAGUCUACCACUACACAGUCUGAGUGCUAGCUUUGGACCCCUGUGAUAGGGAGGAAGGAGAGGAUUUAUGGCCUUGGAGUGAAGGGCAUCACCUUCAAGGUCAAACUCUCUCAUGGUCUCGUUCUUGGUUCACCAAGCUCCUUACAGCCAGACCAGGAGGCUCUUGCAAGGUAGGUGGCUGCAAUGAAUGAAGAAAUCUACAGCUGCGUAAGCAUAUGCUAUAAGGAAAACAUAGAGUGAAUGACUCCAUAGCUUGCUUGGCAGAGGCCUUAGCAGAUAGCUCGGACAAACAACCGAUGACAUCCGUGCACGA
Phalaenopsis equestris is the source of this 664-nucleotide long non-coding RNA. RefSeq lists it as uncharacterized. The transcript has 3 exons. Lineage: Eukaryota; Viridiplantae; Streptophyta; Magnoliopsida; Asparagales; Orchidaceae. The record is from RefSeq and is a predicted model, not a curated record.